GUCUCCUUUUCCCUCCAGCUCUCCUGCUAUCCUUGCAUAUGAGAAAGGAUCCUUCAUGGGCAUUGCUCUGUGUUCUGCUGACCAUUAGUAGCUAAGGCCUGCUGCUUAAUUUAAUGGGACUACGGAAAAUGGUUUAUACUGGGAAUGAAAUACAUGAAGCAGAAACCAAGAUGCAUAUUUACAGUGAGGGAUCAAUUCUAAAGUGGAAAGCUGGCUCCUGUCUCUGAGAAGAUGAGCAAUGUUUGUUUUCUGGAGAGGCCAGAUGUGCUCACCAUCAUGCCACUGGCAGUGCCUCUCACGAGCAAACGAGCUGCAGCGGGAGAGAGAAACAGCAGUGAGGGCCGGCUGUGAUUUGUGCCAGAGUGACUGCAGAUCUGUGCCACAGGAGGAACAGCAGCUCCCUUUACCAUCGAGCACCUCCGAGGGACCACAGGGCCUUCUGGGGCCCCAGGACUCAGGGCCACUCCUCGGACCUGGGUGGGUCCUUGACUUCUCCUUUGGUUUUGCUGCCAUUGUCUUCAGUUUGGCUUCUCCCUUCUGUUCAUCUUUUGAGAAUUCUCUGGUGAUUUCAGUGAGUGGGUUUCUUUUCCUUCAGAAAAGGGAAUCUACCUCUC
Prinia subflava (tawny-flanked prinia) is the source of this 614-nucleotide long non-coding RNA. RefSeq lists it as uncharacterized. The transcript is spliced from 4 exons. The record is from RefSeq and is a predicted model, not a curated record. NCBI's taxonomy places the organism in Eukaryota, Metazoa, Chordata, Aves, Passeriformes, Cisticolidae.